GUGAGGAUAAAGGAAUGUGUCAGAGAA
Molecule: non-coding RNA, 27 nt
Filed under: Mus musculus (house mouse)
Lineage: Eukaryota; Metazoa; Chordata; Mammalia; Rodentia; Muridae
Source: RNAcentral